This is a long non-coding RNA of Telopea speciosissima, 605 nucleotides long. RefSeq lists it as uncharacterized. The record is from RefSeq and is a predicted model, not a curated record. Lineage: Eukaryota; Viridiplantae; Streptophyta; Magnoliopsida; Proteales; Proteaceae. The transcript is spliced from 2 exons.
UCCCCAUGACUUUUUAGUCUUCUAGUAGUUGGAUAAUGUGAUCAGUUGCUUUUCUAGAUUUCACAUUUGUGUUUCUUCAUUUUCAAGCCUCAUUUUGUUUGUUAAGAAAUACAAAGUUACAAUGUAGAUGAAGAGAAAGUAAGAAUUCUGAUGUGGAGAAAAAAGCUCUAAUUGGAAAUGGAGAAUGGAAGCGUACUAGCUCUCAAAAUGCAAGUGCUACAAGCUGUUCAGGACUCUCAGUCAUGGACAAUGGACCAUUAGCAUAGGAUGGUUCAAUCCUUCCAGGGGCUUUUCUCAGUACAUAUAUGAUAUGUCCUAGAUUAGUGAUUCAUUGAUUAAUUUAUGAAUUUUGACAGCUGACUCUUUGCAGAUUGUAGUCCUUUGUUUGUUUAUUGAAUCUUGUUUUUUUCUCAAUUUUAUGGUAGUUAAUGCAGUCCAUUAAACUUCAUGCUCCAUAAUUUUUUGGAUAAGAAUUUAGCAAAAAUUUCUGAAAACUUUGGAAAAAUAAACUAUCUGGAUAUCUUAGAUAUUUGGCCUUUCUGGUGGAGUAUAAUCCGAGAUCAUCCUAAUUCCUAUUUUUAUCCCUCCCCCCCCCCCCCCCCCCC